RNAcentral lists this unclassified non-coding RNA (200 nucleotides) under Cryptococcus sp. (in: basidiomycete fungi). Its description in RNAcentral is "Cryptococcus sp. partial internal transcribed spacer 2". Lineage: Eukaryota; Fungi; Basidiomycota; Tremellomycetes; Tremellales; Cryptococcaceae. The record is from RNAcentral.
UUAAGUUCAGCGGGUAGUCCUACCUGAUUUGAGGUCAGAGUCAAAAAAUGCGCAAAGGCAGGUUGUGAGCAGGCUUACACAGGCAAGGGACAAGACGAAACUUAUUACGUCUGUCACGGAUGCAAGUGAUCCCACUAAGUCAUUUGAGGCGAGCCGAGUAACCGGCAGACGCCCAUGUCCAAGUCCACACCUGAUCAUAA